Molecule: long non-coding RNA, 583 nt
Organism: Aplysia californica (California sea hare)
Lineage: Eukaryota; Metazoa; Mollusca; Gastropoda; Aplysiida; Aplysiidae
Exons: 2
Source: RefSeq, a predicted model, not a curated record
UAUAAUGUGGUGACCUGUCCUAUUAAGGCUUGACAGCACAGACAAAUUCAACGCAAGGGUCCUGAAGCCUUGUGACGGAUGACAGCUAUACUGUGGUUGACACACUUAAUGUCCACUGGUGCGUCCACUCCGAUGGUCAGCUCGUUUCUCUUGCCGUCCGCCCACGGCUGUACCACAGCUUUCCCCAUCACGCAAAAGGCUACAGCCCCGAGGAUCAAAAUCCCCGAGGUCACGAAAAACACGAUCUGCCACUGCUCGCGAGUUUGCUGGAAGAAAAACGACGUAAAACACAACUGUAUUAAAAAUAAUAACUGGUUUGUUUACCAUAUAUAUUGAUAUAUUGUUUCAGAAAGCUACGUGUUGAAAGGUCUUGGAACAAAAGAGCCAUAGCCUUGUUAAAAACUCAUAGCCCUCUAUAAAAUAACAACCUUUAUUGGUGGACAUUAAUGAAUUCACCCUUAUAUUGUGAGAGGUAUGACUCAUGAAGUGGAAGAUGAAUUUCACUUUACUUGUAUUGUCCAAAUUUCACACAUUAAAGGAAAUUGUCAGUUCCUCCCUGCCUGACUCGUCCCUGCAACAGAAA